Thalassophryne amazonica is the source of this 123-nucleotide long non-coding RNA. RefSeq lists it as uncharacterized. The record is from RefSeq and is a predicted model, not a curated record. NCBI's taxonomy places the organism in Eukaryota, Metazoa, Chordata, Actinopteri, Batrachoidiformes, Batrachoididae. The transcript is spliced from 3 exons.
AGAAAAAAACAAGAUGCUACAAAUUUACCUCUUACUGCUGCAAAAAAUAAUAUUCACAAUGUGUUGAAGUCACUACAAUAUUUUCUUUUUACUUCAACAAGUACAUGUCAAACAUCAACAGUC